Molecule: ribosomal RNA, 421 nt
Filed under: uncultured archaeon
Lineage: Archaea
Description: partial 16S ribosomal RNA
Rfam family: Archaeal small subunit ribosomal RNA
Source: RNAcentral
CUACGGGGGGCUCCAGUUAGGAAUAAUCUACAAUGCACGAAAGUGUGAUAGUUUGAGCCAGAGUGUUUUUCAAAUGGAAAACUUUUAUGAAAUGUAAAAAGUUUCAUGAAUAAGGACUGGGUAAGACAGGUGCCAGCCGCCGCGGUAAUACCUGCGGUCCAAGUCGCAGCCAUUUUUAUUGGGUCUAAAACAUCCGUAGCUUGUUUAAUAAGUUCUUUGUGAAAUCCUGUGUCUUAAGCAUGGGGCGCGCAGAGAAUACUAUUGAACUAGAGACUGGAAGACGUAAGAAGUAUGUUCAAAGUAGUGGUGAAAUAUUUUAAUCUUGGACAGACUCACAAUAGCGAAGGCAUCUUACGAGGACAGUUCUGACAGUAAGGGAUGAAGGCUAGGGGCGCAAAAGGGAUUAGAUACCCGAGUAGUC